AGAGUUUGAUCCUGGCUCAGAACGAACGCUGGCGGCAGGCUUAACACAUGCAAGUCGAGCGCUCUCUUCGGAGGGAGCGGCGGACGGGUUAGUAACGCGUGGGAACGUACCCUUUUCUAAGGAAUAGCCAUUGGAAACGAUGAGUAAUACCUUAUACGCCCUUCGGGGGAAAGAUUUAUCGGAGAAGGAUUGGCCCGCGUUAGAUUAGAUAGUUGGUGGGGUAAUGGCCUACCAAGUCUACGAUCUAUAGCUGGUUUUAGAGGAUGAUCAGCAACACUGGGACUGAGACACGGCCCAGACUCCUACGGGAGGCAGCAGUGGGGAAUCUUGGACAAUGGGCGCAAGCCUGAUCCAGCCAUGCCGCGUGAGUGAUGAAGGCCUUAGGGUCGUAAAGCUCUUUCGCCAGGGAUGAUAAUGACAGUACCUGGUAAAGAAACCCCGGCUAACUCCGUGCCAGCAGCCGCGGUAAUA
This 471-nucleotide ribosomal RNA is filed under the name uncultured Phaeobacter sp. RNAcentral describes it as "bacterial SSU rRNA". It matches the Rfam family "Bacterial small subunit ribosomal RNA", at positions 8 to 525 of the family's 1533-position model. Lineage: Bacteria; Pseudomonadati; Pseudomonadota; Alphaproteobacteria; Rhodobacterales; Roseobacteraceae. The record is from RNAcentral.